AGAAGAAUAAGAUAGAGAUUAGAGGAACAAAAAGCUGCAUGCUUAUCAAAUUAAGCAUGUAGUUGAGAAAUUAAUACAAGAAAAUACACGCUAGCUAGCAUCAUAAUUCCAUAUCAGCAUAUGCAUAGAAAAGAAGAGGAGGCUAUUGAGUAAAACUUGUAUUAUUGUGGUAGAAUACUCAUAAUAAGGGAUUCUAUGUCGAUAUUAGUGACGUCCAUAGAAUCCAGCAACUGAGAUAGUCUUUCACUUAAGUCAUCCACCUCUCUUUGUAGCUUCCUGAUGUAGCUGCAUGUUUCCUUCAAAAUUUUGGAUGCUGAUACCCUGGAGGACUGUCUUUGAUUAAGCUGGGGUAGCAAUGCUUGUAGUUUCAUGAUCAGCUCAUUAAUCUCAUCUUCAGUGAUUUUUGUGGCUCCUGAUGAUCUUCUGCUAGACAUGGCUGAAAAUCUGUGCUUGGCUGCUUGCUUUCUUUCAGUGCUUUGCUAUUUGCUACUAUCCGCACUCA
This 502-nucleotide unclassified non-coding RNA is filed under the name Hevea brasiliensis (rubber tree). The record is from RNAcentral. Lineage: Eukaryota; Viridiplantae; Streptophyta; Magnoliopsida; Malpighiales; Euphorbiaceae.